RNAcentral lists this ribosomal RNA (497 nucleotides) under uncultured bacterium. Its description in RNAcentral is "partial 16S ribosomal RNA". It matches the Rfam family "Bacterial small subunit ribosomal RNA", at positions 28 to 507 of the family's 1533-position model. The record is from RNAcentral.
GAUGAACGCUGGCGGCGUGCCUAAUACAUGCAAGUCGAGCGAACAGACGAGGAGCUUGCUCCUCUGACGUUAGCGGCGGACGGGUGAGUAACACGUGGAUAACCUACCUAUAAGACUGGGAUAAUUUCGGGAAACCGGAGCUAAUACCGGAUAUUAUAUUGAACCGCAUGGUUCAAUAGUGAAAGACGGUUUUGCUGUCACUUAUAGAUGGAUCCGCGCCGCAUUAGCUAGUUGGUAAGGUAACGGCUUACCAAGGCAACGAUGCGUAGCCGACCUGAGAGGGUGAUCGGCCACACUGGAACUGAGACACGGUCCAGACUCCUACGGGAGGCAGCAGUAGGGAAUCUUCCGCAAUGGGCGAAAGCCUGACGGAGCAACGCCGCGUGAGUGAUGAAGGUCUUCGGAUCGUAAAACUCUGUUAUUAGGGAAGAACAAAUGUGUAAGUAACUAUGCACGUCUUGACGGUACCUAAUCAGAAAGCCACGGCUAACUACGUG